GGGGGCACUAGAAUCUUGCUGCGCGGGCUAUUGGAGUUGAAGGGUUAUCAUUCGCGCUACCCGUUGAGUAGUGUUCUUGAGAGCUUCUGCUUCUUUAUCCAGAUUGAAAGGCUAGCCUUUAGCUACGGAUUUUAUCAAAAAGAUUGUUGAUCAAUGUUUGUGCAGGAUUCGGUUGAUUAGAAUGAUGAACGUAGGAAUGGGGUGGCUAAAGACGCUUUUAUUAGAAUCAAACAAGAGGUUACAAGAUUGACAGGAAAUAAGGAGACAAGAUCAAAGGUUUAAGCAACAUGAUCAAAGAGAUGAUUAGGAAACCCUAGAUCUAGCCGCCUCUGCGUGUGUUGUCCAAAAGUCCUCCUUUUCGUUGUCUCCUCAUCCCCUCUUAUAGUGUCCUCGUCCGUGAUGCCCUAAUCGUGUCGUCCUUUGGGCCCUGUCGUUAAAGGCCGAGUAUGCGGGCCUUGGUACUGUUCUCUAUAAGCCGAGCGUAUUUAGUCGGCUUAGCUGAUCGGCUAAAAGUACUCUGGGGUCGAGCCGACAUCUUUAGCCGCUUAAGCCGACUAAACUGGUCAAGCU
Molecule: long non-coding RNA, 570 nt
Filed under: Brassica napus (rape)
Lineage: Eukaryota; Viridiplantae; Streptophyta; Magnoliopsida; Brassicales; Brassicaceae
Description: long non-coding RNA (BNAP_LNC023827)
Source: RNAcentral